RNAcentral lists this ribosomal RNA (472 nucleotides) under uncultured organism. Its description in RNAcentral is "partial 16S ribosomal RNA". It matches the Rfam family "Bacterial small subunit ribosomal RNA", at positions 333 to 797 of the family's 1533-position model. The record is from RNAcentral.
ACACUCCUGCGGGAGGCAGCAGUGGGGAAUAUUGCACAAUGGGCGCAAGCCUGAUGCAGCCAUGCCGCGUGUAUGAAGAAGGCCUUCGGGUUGUAAAGUACUUUCAGCGGGGAGGAAGGCGAUAAGGUUAAUAACCUUGUCGAUUGACGUUACCCGCAGAAGAAGCACCGGCUAACUCCGUGCCAGCAGCCGCGGUAAUACGGAGGGUGCAAGCGUUAAUCGGAAUUACUGGGCGUAAAGCGCACGCAGGCGGUCUGUCAAGUCGGAUGUGAAAUCCCCGGGCUCAACCGGGGAACUGCAUUCGAAACUGGCAGGCUAGAGUCUUGUAGAGGGGGGUAGAAUUCCAGGUGUAGCGGUGAAAUGCGUAGAGAGCUGGAGGAAUACCGGUGGCGAAGGCGGCCCCCUGGACAAAGACUGACGCUCAGGUGCGAAAGCGUGGGGAGCAAACAGGAUUAGAUACCCCUGUAGUCCC